GCAAGAUAAUGUACUACUGUGCUUUGAGCUAUGAUACUAAUAACAAUUUGCCUAAUUACACAGAUAUGGUAAAUGGACACGGUUCCAUUGAGCCUUGCAAUGCCAGACCAUAUCUCAGAUCAGUUUAUUUGUGUGGCUUCAGGCCCCCGAGUUUGCAAAUAAGUGUUUUAUGUGCAACAAGAAGAUGUGUCUCAAAUGUGCUAAACAUGUCUUGGGUGGAACUGUGCCUUUCCAAAAAAUAUUUUAUUCUAAAGUAUUCUAGUAUUCUCUUGGAGUAUGAACACCACAUUUCCUUCAAAACCAACCAGAGCAAUCAGCAUGCAAUUGUGUGAGAGAUGGAAAAGAGUCAACACAGAGCCACAAUCUCUUCACUCGUCUGCAAUGAAUCUGUGAGGGGAAAAUAACACCCUAAACUGUGAUUAUCUGAUAUUUUAUAGCAUAGGCUUUAUCAUCCUCUCUUAAUAUUCCACACCUUUCCCCAUCUUUUAUGAGGCCUGCCAUUUGAUGUUUUCCACACUAUACAUAAUUUGUCCACAGUUUAGAAAUCUGACUCAGCAUGAUACCACAUAGAUUGAGAGUAUAUGGUUAUAUAUGAGCAGAUGUAUCAUUUAAAGCUCUUCUCCACAGUAUGGAGAAAUAUUUGAAAGCACAGCAAAAAAAAAAAAAAACAGUUAGCUGAAAAAGCUGCUGAAAAACAAUCUUCUCUUUAAAACCCCCAAAAUAAAUAAAAUAAGCAAACAAGUAAAUAAAUAAACAAACAGAAGUUUCCCUGCAGCCGCCUCCCUAAACUUUGAAUUAUGCUCGCCGGAGCUCUUGAGUAAUGACUCAUGCAUCUUGAUUAAUAAGAGUCUUAUGAGUCCACUGUCCCGUGCUCCAUCAAUGUCCGGAUCGCUGUGAGAACACUUUGGCAUUCUACAGACCCUGUGUGGGACCCAGCAUCACUUUCCCAGGGCCCUGCUAGACACGGUGCUGUUGACAACACAUUAAACUGGGGAGGGCAUUACUGGAGUUAGUUUUCUAUUUAUGAAGUGGACACGAACAGAAAGCCUGCAAUCCAGAGCUUCCACUGGUGUAGUUAGUCAGUGUGUUCAGCUUACAGAUCAGGGUGUGGUGUUUUUUUUUCUAUCUUACCUAUC
This is a long non-coding RNA of Clupea harengus (Atlantic herring), 1136 nucleotides long. The record is from Ensembl. NCBI's taxonomy places the organism in Eukaryota, Metazoa, Chordata, Actinopteri, Clupeiformes, Clupeidae.